Molecule: ribosomal RNA, 504 nt
Filed under: uncultured bacterium
Lineage: Bacteria
Description: partial 16S ribosomal RNA
Rfam family: Bacterial small subunit ribosomal RNA
Source: RNAcentral
AUUGAACGCUGGCGGCAGGCCUAACACAUGCAAGUCGAGCGGUAGCACAGAGAGCUUGCUCUCGGGUGACGAGCGGCGGACGGGUGAGUAAUGUCUGGGAAACUGCCUGACGGAGGGGGAUAACUACUGGAAACGGUAGCUAAUACCGCAUAACGUCGCACGACCAAAGUGGGGGACCUUCGGGCCUCAUGCCAUCAGAUGUGCCCAGAUGGGAUUAGCUAGUAGGUGGGGUAACGGCUCACCUAGGCGACGAGCCCUAGCUGGUCUGAGAGGAUGACCAGCCAAACUGGAACUGAGACACGGUCCAGACUCCUACGGGAGGCAGCAGUGGGGAAUAUUGCACAAUGGGCGCAAGCCUGAUGCAGCCAUGCCGCGUGUGUGAAGAAGGCCUUCGGGUUGUAAAGCACUUUCAGCGGGGAGGAAGGCGGUGAGGUUAAUAACCUCAUCGAUUGACGUUACCCGCAGAAGAAGCACCGGCUAACUCCGUGCCAGCAGCCGCCGUAA